AACCGCAAAGGGCUCAGUAAACCAGUUUUAAUUUACUAGAGUUUACACGUAACGUACGUGGAUACCUGUGGUAAUUCUAGAGCUAAUACAUGCAAUUAAGUCCGGACCAGAAAUGGAAAGGACGCUUUUAUUAGAUCAAAACCAUUCGCCCGACUUGUUUGGGCGUUGUUUUGGUGAAUCUAGAUAACACAUGAGAUCGUACAGUCAUCGUACUGACGACAUCUCUUUCAAACGCCUGACUUAUCAGCUGUCGAUGGUAGACUCUGUGUCUACCAUGGCCCUCACGGGUAACGGGGAAUCAGGGUUCGAUUCCGGAGAGGGAGCCUGAGAAACGGCUACCACAUCCAAGGAAGGCAGCAGGCACGCAAAUUACCCACUCCCGGCACGGGGAGGUAGUGACAAAAAAUAACGAUACGGGACUCUAUUGAGGCCCCGUAAUCGGAAUGAGUACACUUUAAAUCCUUUAACAAGGAUCCAUUGGAGGGCAAGUCUGGUGCCAGCAGCCGCGGUAAUUCCAGCUCCAAUAGCGUAUAUUAAAGUUGUUGCGGUUAAAAAGCUCGUAGUUGGUUCUGCGUGCCGCGCUGUCGGUUCGCCGCCUGUCGGUGUAACUGGCAUGUCGCGGCAUGUCCUGUCGGUGGUGAACGAGAUACCCGGUGCCGGCUAAGGUUUUUACAGCCGAAGUUGUGUGCCGUGCGUGUUCUCGUUUGCCGAAUUAUCCUACUCCGGUGCUCUUAAACGAGUGUCGAGGUAGGCCGACACGUUCACUUUGAACAAAUUAGAGUGCUUAAAGCAGGCUGAAAAUACUGCCUGAAUAGUGGUGCAUGGAAUGAUAAAAUAGGACCUCGGUUCUAUUUUGUUGGUUUUAGGAAUAUGAGGUAAUGAUCAAUGUGGACUGGCGGGGGCAUUCGUAUUGCGACGUUAGAGGUGAAA
This 930-nucleotide ribosomal RNA is filed under the name Phasmatocoris usingeri. RNAcentral's name for it is "SSU rRNA". It matches the Rfam family "Eukaryotic small subunit ribosomal RNA", at positions 85 to 916 of the family's 1831-position model. Lineage: Eukaryota; Metazoa; Arthropoda; Insecta; Hemiptera; Reduviidae. The record is from RNAcentral.